UCCUGAUGCCUGCUUUGGUGUUUUUCAGCUUCGUGCACUCUCGUCGAGAAAUUCAUAUCUCGAGCUUCGGGUGUUAGAUUCUUAAGACAUUUGUGUCAUUAUAAAUAAAAUACAGAUUGCAGGAAAAUCUGAAAGUAUCAUUUCUUAAUUCCUUUUGGAGUAGAUGUAAUAACUUCUUGAAUUCAUCUAGGUGUCUGCCAUGCAUUUGUUUCUGCUUUGCGCACUCCUGUCGAAAAAUUCAUAUCUCGUGUUAGGAGGCUCCAAAUUGGGAUCCGUUUGUGCCAUUAGAAAGUACACUCUUAGAUAUGAAAUACUUAAAAGUUUCAUGGCAUAACUUCUUUUAAUAUGGAAACAGAAAAUUCUCAAAAUCCACCUACCUACAGUAACUUUCAGAUUCGUGUUGUUCCAACAACAAAAAUUGUAUCUUGGGCUAGGACCCUCCGAAUCAUAAAUGGAUUAUGUUGAUGGAGACGAGACAUUCAAAUCUACAACAUAUAAAAUAUUUGGGGUAGAACGUCUUUUGGAUGGGCAACAUUAGUUUCCCAAAUUUGAUCUCGUCUUCUGUUGUGCUCGCUUCCCAUCUCUAUGCUCUCCUACUUGUCCUAUAAAUGUUUUUUUAAUUGAAAUUGACUUUACAGUCUUGAAUAUAGUAAGUUUAGCUAUUGUGCUUCAAAAUAUUUAUCUCUUUAUUUAUUUCUUUUGCAAACUUGCAAAGAAGUUCAAUGAGUCCAGAUAUUGGUCUGAGAUGUCAUACAAAAUGCAGAGUCAUCCCUUCACCAACUAUUGGAAUUGAUUUUUUGAUGGUCUUGAAGUUUAUCAAUGGCGGAUCCCGUGGUGAUUGAAGGUUUUUCAAGAGAGAUGACUCUUAUAUAUGAGGCAUUGAGGAUAAUAAUUAAAAUGUGAAUACGUCAUAUGAACUUGGAAGAAGCAUUCAAGAUGGGUCGGCCACAAAGCCUAGUAUUUUCAUGACUUAGGCUUUUUAUCGGAAAACGACUUAUUCCUUUUGUCUCUAUACUUUUGGAUAUACCAAUUUUUGUACUAUUGAAGCAAUAAAACAUCUUUUAUACUUCAAAACAAAUUGUCUCUUUUCCUCGUAGAUAUGUGUCUCUACACUUGGAAGAAUUAAUGUAAUGAUCUGAUGAUGCCAAACCUUUAUAUUUUUAAAACUCAUGCGACUAAACUUAGAAUAAAACUCUAAGCUGCCUACGCAUCUGUGAAGAGGAUCAAGUCAUAACAUAGUUUAGAGGGGUGAUUCUUUUUUCUUCUUUUUUAUGUCCUAAUUUUUUCCUAGGCCGCCUCUCAGGAAGUUUUCAACCUAGCUGACUUUUGUUUUUUUGCUUAGGACGCCUCUUUCGAGGUUUUCAACCUAGCGGACUAUUUGUUUUCUGGCCGCACACAGCUUAGACUCAUGUGGGCCAGGAGUAUCGAAACGUGAAGUUUAGGCUCAUGCAUUAAGGAGCAUCAUGACUUGCAGUUUAGGCUCGUAAGUCAAGGAGCAUAGGUACUUUCAUGGGAAGUACUGCUUUAAAAAUUUUCCGUUGAUCGGGCCAACUUUGAGACCAUCCUUAUUAACAAUUUUGUAUGCGCCACUUCGAUAGGCUUCCUUCACAACAUAUGGCACAUCCCAUUUUGAGGUAAACUUGUCGCCUAUGCGUUUGUUGAGUAUUAUGGGUCGCUAAACGGCUAGGACUAAGUCUCCAACUUGGAAUGAUCGUGGCCGCACUUUCUUGUUGAAGGCUCUAGCUAGUCGAUAUUGAUAGAACUCCCAUUUUUGUGGUGCUUCUAAUAUUUUUUCAUUCAAGGCCUUUAAUUCUGCUAGGCAAAGUUGAGCAUUCUCUUUGGAUGUGAGCCUUCUUAGAUUACGGUUAUCAAUGGUGAAAUUUUUUUCUCUAAAUGAAGGACUACUUCUACGUUAUACACCAAAGAGUAAGGAGUUGCUUGUGUAUCAGUUCUUAAGGUUGUCUGGUAUGCCCACAAAGCUUCAACAAUUUUCUCAUACCAGUCUCUCUUGUUCUUUAGAACAAUUUUCUUCAAUAGAUUUCCAAGUGUCUUGUUAAAACUUCAGCAAAGCCGUUGCGGGUGCAUUAUACAUUGAAGAAUUAUGUUGCUUGAAGUCGAACUUAUCAUACAAACUCUUCUCGAGCUUGCUGUCAAAUGGCGUUCCAUUAUCAUUGAUUACAUAUCUUGGUAUGCCGUACCUAAAAAUUAUAUAUGACUUGAUAAAAUCGACAACAGUCUCCUUUUUACCUCCUUGAGUGGAGCAUCUUCGGCCCAUCUAGAGAAGUAGUUUGUGGGGGCCAAUAUGUAAAUAUGUCCCUUUAAUGACUUUGGAAGCAGUCCAACAAUGUCAAGUCCCCAUGCAUCAAAAGACCAUGAAGAUACAUUUGGAUGAAGAGGCUUUAGAGGUUGGUGGAUGUAGUUGGCAUGAAAUUGACAUGCUUGGCAUCUUUUGGCAUGAUACAUGCAAGGUUUCACCAUUGUCGUCCAGUAGUAGCCCAUCCUCUAGAUGCAGAAAUGGAGCUUUGGAUCAGAUUAGUGUGCUCCACAUGAGCAAGAAUGUGCUUCCUCUAUCACUGGUGGGCUUCUUCUUUGUCAAGACAUCGCAAGAAUAGUCCUUCAAAGGAGUGGCGAAAUAAUGUCCCUUUGUAGAAGAUGAAUCGUGGUGCCCUUCACUCGAUGUCUAUUCUUUGUCACGGAUCCUCGAGUAACAUUCCAUGUUCAAGGUAUUCUAUCAAGGGUUACAUCCAAUAUUCUUCUUCAAUCGCUCGAACAUAUGUAUGGUGUUUUUCGUUGAUUUGAAGAUCCAGAAGUCUAGGAAUAAUCUAUCGAUGACACACAUAUACCUUUGUUGACUGAUUCUCUCCAAGUGCUAUCGUCGUGGCCAAGUUAGCUAAAGCAUCAACCUUGCGAUUUUAUUUUCUUGGGAUGUGGUUUAAGAACACUUUAUCGAAAUUUUCAAGUAAACCAGAAACGUAUUGGUAGUAUGGAAAUAGAUCUUCCUUCUUUAUCUCGUUGCUCUCCAACUGUAGAAUUUUCAUUUCUAAUUCCAUUUCGAGACUGACGAUCAAAUCUUGGUACUCUACGGCAUUGUUGGAGCAUGUUUCACCUAAAACAAAGGAGAAUGGCAAAACUUGUUUUUCUAGAGGGAUCAACACAGCAUCUUCCGCCGUACCGUUACGACGUGCAGAUCCAUCAAAGAACAUUGUCCAUGGUGGAAACUCUUCAAUGAACAAAACGUCUUUAUUUGGAAACUCAUCCGAAAGCUCCUAUUCCACCGGAAGAGGGUGAUUAUCCAGAAAAUUGGCUAGUGCUUGUCCCUUCACAACUUUUUGAGGUGUGUGUGUGAUCACAUAUUGGUUAAAAAAUAUAAACCAUCUUGCUAAGCAUCCAGGAAAAACAUGUCAUGUAAUCAUCAACUUCACGGUAACUACUCGAGAGAUGAGUUUGGUGGUGCAUGCUUCAAAUUAAUGCCUUGGAAUCUUUAUCGCAUAAAGUAACGCUAAGCAUAUUUUCUCAACAGACAUAUAGUUCAUCUCAGCUCCUACCAGAGUUCGGGUAAGGUAUUAUUAAUUGUUUGCAUUUUGUUCGUGCAUUUUAAUUAGUGAAAAAAUAAACAAAAAUAUUUUGCAUGUGAAAUUAGGAGUUCGUUCCACAUUUUAAGAAUUAUUCAGUAAUUAAGAUUGUUUUACAAAAAGGAAAAUCACAAAAAUAGUCAUCUUGCACCCUUUAAUUUUAAUUUUUGAUUUUUAGGUGAUUUUGCUUUUAAUUUUAUUUUAGUUAUUUUGUGAUAAUAAUUAUGUAGGAUUGAUUAUUAUUUUAUAGUUAAAUUUAGGAUUUAUAAUUAAUUUGGGAUUUUAGCAAUUUUUAAAAAAUGAAAAAAUGAUGAAAAGAAAGAGAAAAAAAAUCUGGAAAAUUUGAAAAAAAAAACAAAAAAGAAAGAAUUGGGCUAAUUAACCAACCCAAAAGUAACCAAAAGCCAGCCCAAACCACUCUCAAAUCCUGUCCAGCCCCUCCCCAAACCAAACAACGUUGUUUGGACCCAUUCAAUCAGGACCAUCAGGAUUCUUUAAUCUAACGAUCCUGAAACCGGGUUGAUUUAGUAUAUAAGUGUCCAAACGACCCCCUCCAAAACACCGCGUAUCCAACCUCUCUUAUCAGAAACCCUAGAGCCACCAUAACGCCACCGCCAACCAUCGUGCACCGCCGGCCGAAAAUCGUCUCCGCCCGCGGCGGAACCCCAAUCAGCGUCAAAUUAACACCACUGAUUCCCCUCACCUUCCUCUAUCCAGAUCUAUAUCCACUUGCCCUCGAAUCUUAGCCAAACACUUCGAAUAUUGGUUUGAAACACUGACUCUGUCACCGUGUAUGGCGAUGCCACCUCUGAUCACCACCAUUUUUAAACCCCAUGGUCCUCUCCUCUCCCUCAUGCCAAAUCCCCACUCAGCAUCCCGCAAACACCCGUGGAAUGUUUUGAAUAUUAAUUCGAAGGAGGCGGCCAAAACCCUACCACCACAAAACCACCCAAAAAUCACACCCUACAGUCUUAUCACCUCCCUCACCUCAGAACCACAGCUAGUUUCCCUCGAAUGUCCCCACAACUCCUCAAAUUCGAAUCUAGGAUUUCCGGAGUCUUCCAAAUGGUGCAUGAUGAUUUCCAGGGUCGAUCCAAGGAAAUUAAGCGAAGUUUUCGUAUUUGAUUUCUUAUUUUUCUUCGCCUCAUCUAUUCUUUGUGAAUUUGUUAGGUUUAAGUUGAAGUCAUUUGUUAUUCAGUCCUAAACGAGUUUGUUUCUGAUUUGUUAGUUGGGUUUUAUGUCAAAUUCCUGAGAUAAUAAGUUUAGUUUGUAUGUAUUAAUUUAAUUUGUUUAGUGACUAAGUUUAAUCAGUCCUAGUCGAGUCUAUUUGUGGAUUGGGUCUCAUGUUCCUGAGUAAUUUGUUUAAUUUUCUCCGUUGAGUUGAAUUUCAGACUAAUGCCUGAGCUUAUUUAGUUGUAGUCAGAUUUAUGCUAUUGAAGUUCCUAGGUCAAUUAGUCAUAGUUUUUUCUAUUAGGUUAAAUUCAUGAGUUUUAUUAGCUUUGUUUGAGUUUGUUUGGGUUUUGCUGUUGAUUUAUUUUCAUCAAUUUGAAGUCAUGUGUGUCAAUUUGUUUUUCAUUUUGGACUUUUCUGCAUUAUUAGAACAUGACCUUUGGCUUCUUAAGCUGGUUUGUUAUAUUUCAAAGCUUUAGGGUUUAUUUUGUUGGCUUAAAGUUAAGUAUUAAUUCUAAGGUGAUUAAAGUAAUUUCAGGGGUUAACAAGGGUAGUUUGGGUAGUUUCAGUUAAGAAUUUUAAGUAAUGGAAUAGAAGUCUCUAGAGGCUUCUAGUGUGGGGGGGAGGGGGGUUGAAUUGAAUUUUAGGGUUUAGGUAAUUUUAACUUAGAAAACAAAUCAUAAAUUGAAGGACUAACUAGCUAAAAAGAGGGAAACUAGAAAGGACUAAAGGGUAAACUUAAAAUCUGAAGUUGCCCUAGUAAAUUGCCUACAAAGGCAUUGUUACAUAGGGCUGUAGGGAGACUUUCUGAGCAUUGAAAAUCCUGAAAUUUCUAGGUAGCUAAAAAGCUUCUAAAAACACUAUCCCAUUAGAGUUUUCGUGAGAACCUGGAAUUUUUCAUUGUUAAAAUUACUUUUGAAUAUUCAAAGGCUAAAAAAUGAGUUUAAUCGUUUGAAUACUGGUUUGUUUUGAUCCAACUUGGGUCAGAGAUGUGAUAAUUGGUCUCCAUUGAUAUCACUUGGUUUAAAGUUUGGUUCAGUUGGAUUUCUCUUGGUUAUUCCUGGGCAAUUUUGCUUGCUUAACUUUAUAUUUGCUGCUGUUGAAUUCUGUUGUUGAUCUACUGCUACUGCUGUUAACUAAGCUCAUAGCUUCCCUGUUUAUUAUUGUAACCAUGUAUUUACUUAACCCUUUAAUGGCCAGAAGUUGUGGAAAUAUGUAGUUGAAGAUUGAUUCUGAAUAAAUAGUUGUCCAGAGCAGAUCUCUUCUUGCCUGCUACCUUGUUCAACAUUUGAUGCUAUUUUCUUUUCUCAGCUUUAAACUCUUAGAUCUAGUAAUAUAGUGUAGCAAUAAUUAGCUUAACUUAGUCCUUGUAGCAUAGUGGUAAUAUUCUGAAGUUUGUGCUAUCCUUGAACCUACUUGAAACUGUUAGAUUCAUGAGUUAUUCGAACAUUAAAGGACUGUAUAUAUGAACUUUAUUUAGAAACGUUCCGUUUUAGGUCUGUUCAUUUUGUAAUCGAUAUCUCGUCAGUUUAGGUCAUGAAGUUUGGACUUAAAAUGAAUAUGUGUGGUUCAUUUUGUAAUAAUGAAUGUAAUAAUGAAUGUGUGUGGUUCAUCACAAUACGUAUAAUAUGAGUAGGAGCAUGAAGUUUGGACUUAAAAUGAGCAUGUGGUCGAUUUGAGUGGGAUUGAAUUGUUCAUGUGUUUUACAAGAAAUUAUUAGGUUUAAUUAGGAUUGUAAAGUCAGUGUUGUUUAAAAUCCAAUUUAAAUUCAGUGUUUGAUCUGUGUUAAUUUAAUGGUCAAAGCUUGACAGCUUGUCUAGAAUAAAAUUUGGGGCCAAAAUUUGCCUAUGCAUGGCCCAACUUCGAUUUUUUUACUCGCCAACCUUUGGGUUUCAGGUACGGAUCCCACUUGUAAUUGUUACUUAAUUGACCAAACAGCCUUUGAUAGCCCAUAACCCCAUGAACGUUGAGGUCCGGCCUUGGGCUUGUCUUCUGGGCAGCGCCUUGUUUUGGUAUUUGGCGAUUAACCUUUCAAAUCACAGCCCACAUUUAAUGUUGGCUAGCAUAGCCACCCGUAUUAAUUAGCUUCAACGUGAAUACUUAGAAUCCAAGGCGCACCAUUUAGCGAACUUUCGUGGCCCUCGCAAAUUUAAACAUACGAAAUUGCUUUAAGCGAGCUAGUUAAGUAAUUUAUUUUCCUAAAUUCGGGUGAGCAUUUAUGUGACCCAAAUCCAAAUUCCAACGAUGUUGAAAUAUGUCCAAGACUACGGGUGCAUUUAUGUGACGUGGUUCGAGACACGUUUUAACAAUGUUGCAAUCUUCUAAAAAUAAAAAAAGCGGUUAUAAAGUUAAAAUUUACAUAUAGGUACAAAAAUGCGUUAAAAUCAUAUGAUCGAGCCGAAUAUAACAGUUGAGUGGAUGUGCUAGAAACACAGAAUUUGGGAGUGCCUAAUACAAUCUCCCAGGUUAACAGAAUUUCUUACCGCGAUUUCUGGCACUCAGACUUCAUAGAGAGUCAAACCUUCCUCGAGUCGGGAUUUAAACUGGUGAUUUGGGACACUAUUAAUUAUCCCAAGUGGCGAAUCUAAAAUUAUUAAAUAACUAAAUCCCGUUUCAGUUGUCCUUUAAUUGGAAAAACUCCCUUUUCGACGCCCUUCGUUGGGGUGUAGUAUGUUAAAAAAGAGGUGUGACAGCUCUGGCGAUUCUGCUGAGGAUCGAAACUAGAAUCUUUGGUUCAGGGUUCAAGAAUUCGAGCUUUAAAUAAUUGUUGUAUCUGGCUUUAUUAUUAUCUGAUUUUAUUGCAUAAUUGUGCCCAAUGUGCUAAAUGUUAUUUUUACCGCUCUAAUAUUAUUUGAACUGUAUAUAAACUACUGUGAAACCCUUCUCUUCUCAUCUUCGGGGAUGUGCUAGCUGGUCGAGACUCCCUAUUCUGUUAGUGUCAUACCUUCAAAUAAGAAAGAGGCUCGGACAAGUUACAAAGCCGGAUGACCUUUUGGUUCCCGGUACAUAGCCUCCUCCUCGACUCGAGUUGUCUACCUGGUUACACAGUAUAAACCCUAUACCAAGGUUUAAUUAAUCUUAUCGUUUAUCCUCUUUUUGUUUUAAGAUUAGUCAAAUGCAGUUUGUGUUGAAAUGAACUUAUGAUUAAUUAUAUGAUGAGUAAAUAAAUCCAUCAAGAGUGUACUAAACUACUAACUAGAAUCGAGUAACAAUAAAGAGGGGUUGAAAUCCCAUCAAAACCAUGAAAAGUGCAAAAUGUUUUCACUAGGUAAAGCCAAAAACCUCAAACCAAAAUCUGUCCAUCUUAUAUUUUGCUUAUUAGACACCCCCACAUUUACCCCACCCUCCUACCACUAAAAUUUUUGAAUUUGUAUUUAAUCAUAGUUUAAAAAUUAAAUACAACAAAGAAAGGCCGAAAUCGAAACUAGAUCAAUUGCAUAUUUAGUUCGUUAAAAAAUCCACGAGAUACAUAAACAUUAAUUAAUCCUCAUUAACUCUGUUUGUAUUCUGUGAUUGAAACCUCUUUGUUCUGUUUUACAUUUUUUUAUAGGAAUAUUUAAAAUGAGACGGAGAGAGAGACUUACAACUGUGUCGUCGUCGUGCGGUCAAACCACUGCAGACGCUGCUGGAGAGGAGGAACAUGACACCGCUGGAAGAGAGAAGGAACGUGAGCAGUGAGAGAGAAGAGAGAAGUGUGUGGGAAAGGAAACUAUAAUUAGAAAAAUAAGGGUUUCG
This 8477-nucleotide long non-coding RNA is filed under the name Nicotiana benthamiana. Its description in RNAcentral is "long non-coding RNA (NBEN_LNC038665)". The record is from RNAcentral. Lineage: Eukaryota; Viridiplantae; Streptophyta; Magnoliopsida; Solanales; Solanaceae.